This 496-nucleotide ribosomal RNA is filed under the name uncultured bacterium. RNAcentral's name for it is "partial 16S ribosomal RNA". It matches the Rfam family "Bacterial small subunit ribosomal RNA", at positions 29 to 507 of the family's 1533-position model. The record is from RNAcentral.
AUGAACGCUGGCGGCGUGCCUAAUACAUGCAAGUCGAGCGAACAGACGAGGAGCUUGCUCCUCUGACGUUAGCGGCGGACGGGUGAGUAACACGUGGAUAACCUACCUAUAAGACUGGGAUAACUUCGGGAAACCGGAGCUAAUACCGGAUAAUAUAUUGAACCGCAUGGUUCAAUAGUGAAAGACGGUUUUGCUGUCACUUAUAGAUGGAUUCGCGCCGCAUUAGCUAGUUGGUAAGGUAACGGCUUACCAAGGCGACGAUGCGUAGCCGACCUGAGAGGGUGAUCGGCCACACUGGAACUGAGACACGGUCCAGACUCCUACGGGAGGCAGCAGUAGGGAAUCUUCCGCAAUGGGCGAAAGCCUGACGGAGCAACGCCGCGUGAGUGAUGAAGGUCUUCGGAUCGUAAAACUCUGUUAUUAGGGAAGAACAAAUGUGUAAGUAACUAUGCACGUCUUGACGGUACCUAAUCAGAAAGCCACGGCUAACUACGUG